Saccostrea cuccullata (small rock oyster) is the source of this 900-nucleotide long non-coding RNA. RefSeq lists it as uncharacterized. Lineage: Eukaryota; Metazoa; Mollusca; Bivalvia; Ostreida; Ostreidae. The record is from RefSeq and is a predicted model, not a curated record. The transcript has 2 exons.
AUGGUAUAAAAAGAAAAGCAUAUCAUUCUUCAGAAUCAUUUGUUCAAUAUGAACCCCAAAACAGCAAUCGUAGUUUUCUUGUUUGUUAUAAUUUGUGUAAGCGGACUUUCGACAACUGAUAAGAAAAAACAGAAUGAUGACAUAGCCGACAUUAAAAACAGACUAGGACAUCUUGAACAGUUGAUUGGACAACUGGUCACCGGGAAUUCAUCAUCGGAUGUUCUUAAAAUUAGUGUGUCCACUGGCAGAAACACGUUUCCUUUUCAGCCUACAAGAACCAAACUCAGGAUGGACUGAACCGGAGACACAUCAUCAAGUUUGAGCAGACGAUACUGAACCUUGGAAAUCACUACCAUCCAGAGGACGGAAUAUUUAUCGCCCCGGUGUCAGGUGUAUACCUCUUCCACUGGACUAUGAUUAAUAAAGCAGAUUUUGCACAUACUAACAUUUUGGUAGGAGGUAAAUUUAUGUCUACAACUACCACAUCGAUAGUAUCAAAUUAUAAUUCUGGAUCUGCCUUGGUGAUUGUUCACGUACAGAAGGGGCAGCAUGUUUGGAUUCAGACCUGCUGUGGUACUGGGCAUGAAGUAGAUGGAAACACACUAGUUAGGGUUGGAAAGCUAUUUCCAGUCUACCUUUUCCGGGACUUUACUCUUUCCAGUUUCAGAAAAUUAAAGUUACACAUGUAUGUGUGUGGAAUAAAUCCCACCCGACUGUAAAACAACUUGACGCUUGUUAUUCCAUUCUAGAAACAGAGUAAUAGAAUCAUUAUUUCAUGUGAAGUACAGUAGGUGGCCAUAAUUUAUUUCCCAAAAUAGCCGCCGUAGUUAAAUGUUGGACUAUCCUGUUGCAAUGCAAAACUUGAAUAGCACGCAAACAAUAAAACACAUUUACCUUAAA